GCAUAUCAAUAAGCGGAGGAAAAGAAACUAACAAGGAUUCCCUUAGUAGCGGCGAGCGAAGCGGGAAGAGCUCAAAUUUGUAAUCUGGCGUCUUUCAGGCGUCCGAGUUGUAAUCUAUAGAAGUGUUUUCUAUGUCGGACCGUGUCUAAGUCUCUUGGAAUAGAGUAUCAAAGAGGGUGACAAUCCCGUACUUGACAUGACUACCGAUGUUCUGUGAUACAUUUUCUACGAGUCGAGUUGUUUGGGAAUGCAGCUCUAAAUGGGUGGUAAAUUCCAUCUAAAGCUAAAUAUUGGUGAGAGACCGAUAGCGAACAAGUACCGUGAGGGAAAGAUGAAAAGCACUUUGGAAAGAGAGUUAAACAGUACGUGAAAUUGUUGAAAGGGAAACGAUUGAAGUCAGUCAUGUCUGUUGGUUUCAGCUUGCUCUGCAAGUGUAUUACCUUCAGACGGGUCAACAUCAGUUUUGGUGCGGUGGAUAAGAACGGAUUGAAGGUGGCACCCUCGGGUGUGUUAUAGCUUUCUGUUGCAUACGCUGCCUGAGACUGAGGACUGCAGCUCGCGCUCACGCGCCGCCCCUCGGGGACGUUCGAGCUUAGGAUGUUGGCAUAAUGGCUUUAAACGACCCGUCUUGAAACACGGACCAAGGAGUCUAACA
This 655-nucleotide ribosomal RNA is filed under the name Dioszegia xingshanensis. RNAcentral describes it as "LSU rRNA". It matches the Rfam family "Eukaryotic large subunit ribosomal RNA", at positions 38 to 680 of the family's 3401-position model. Lineage: Eukaryota; Fungi; Basidiomycota; Tremellomycetes; Tremellales; Bulleribasidiaceae. The record is from RNAcentral.